Molecule: ribosomal RNA, 519 nt
Filed under: uncultured eukaryote
Lineage: Eukaryota
Description: SSU rRNA
Rfam family: Eukaryotic small subunit ribosomal RNA
Source: RNAcentral
AGGGCACCACCAGGAGUGGAGCCUGCGGCUUAAUUUGACUCAACACGGGAAAACUCACCCGGCCCGGACACCGUAAGGAUUGACAGACUGAGAGCUCUUUCUCAAUUCGGUGGGUGGUGGUGCACGGCCGUUCUUAGUUGGUGGAGCGAUUUGUCUGGUUAAUUCCGAUAACGAACGAGACUCUGGCCUAUUAAAUAGACGAUAUAUUAAAAAGUAUAUCGCGCUUCUUAGAGGGACAAGCGGCGUCUAGCCGCAUGAAAUAGAGCAAUAACAGGUCUGUGAUGCCCUUAGAUGUCCGGGGCUGCGCGCGCGCUACACUGAAAGAAUCAGUGGGCGUUUUACCUAGUUCGGAAGGACUGGGCAACCCAAGUAAAUUCUUUCGUGCUUGGGAUAGGGAAUUGCAAUUAUUUCCCUUAAACGAGGAAUUCCCAGUAAAUUCGGAUCAUAAGCUCGAGUUGAUUACGUCCCUGCCCUUUGUACACACCGCCCGUCGCUACUACCGAUUGGAUGACUUAGUGA